RNAcentral lists this unclassified non-coding RNA (692 nucleotides) under Hevea brasiliensis (rubber tree). The record is from RNAcentral. Lineage: Eukaryota; Viridiplantae; Streptophyta; Magnoliopsida; Malpighiales; Euphorbiaceae.
AAUCUUACGAAUGUUUUCAGUGUUCAUAUGUUUCUAAAGAUAAACAACAGGGACACCAACAACAAAGGAAGUGAUGUUUCAUAGUUCAUAUUCUGCAGGCUCUGACCGCUUAAUGCAUUAUACAUGAAUAAAAUAUGUUACAUAUACCAAUUGUGAGCAAUUUCUGUUUCUAUUUUAGAUUUCUCACUAUUAUGAAUUUAAAACAUCAAUUUUCAAUUAACCAAAUUCAAAGGGAUAAGAAAUGCAAUUAGUAAAUAUGGACUAAAGAGAACAGUUUAAAUGGAUUCCUCUAGAGUCUAGCCAUGCACUUGCACCAUUCCACAAAAGGUUUUUGGGAAGAUAUAUGAUAGAGUAUCUCUUCUUUAAAAAGAUUAAGUAACACUACAGGCUCUGAUAAAUUACGUCCAAAUAUCCACAAAACCAUGAUAAGGACUAAAAGAAUCAUUAAGAAUGUCACAUGUAAGUACUGAAAUAAAGUGAAAAUUAUGCUUAUACAGCAACACAUGAUUUAGAAUACCCUUUUCUAAUCAGUUUUGCUGUUUCCUUUCUCCAAAUGUCCAAGUUAUGUGUUUUGGGACAAAUAUAAGCCUCUAGUGUUAAAUUGAAGGUAUGCAGUAGAGAUUGCAGUAUGACAUAGAAUUACAACCUUUGGACAAAAAUAUAACCUACCAAAUACGUCAAUGCCAAGCCGU